This 593-nucleotide ribosomal RNA is filed under the name uncultured archaeon. RNAcentral describes it as "bacterial SSU rRNA". It matches the Rfam family "Archaeal small subunit ribosomal RNA", at positions 867 to 1458 of the family's 1478-position model. The record is from RNAcentral.
GGCGGGGGAGCACCACAACGGGUGGAGCUUGCGGUUUAAUUGGAUUCAACGCCGGAAAUCUUACCGGGACCGACAGCAAUAUGAAGGCCAGGCUGAAGACUUUGCCGGAUUAGCUGAGGGGUGGUGCAUGGCCGUCGUCAGUUCGUACUGUGAAGCAUCCUGUUAAGUCAGGCAACGAGCGAGACCCACGCCCACAGUUGCCAGCGUACUCUCCGGAGUGACGGGUACACUGUGGGGACCGCCGCUGCUAAAGCGGAGGAAGGAAUGGGCAACGGUAGGUCAGUAUGCCCCGAAUAUCCCGGGCUACACGCGAGCUACAAUGGUUGGUACAAUGGGUAUCUACCCCGAAAGGGGACGGGAAUCUCCUAAAACCAAUCUUAGUUCGGAUUGAGGGCUGCAACUCGCCCUCAUGAAGCUGGAAUCCGUAGUAAUCGCGUUUCAACAGAACGCGGUGAAUACGUCCCUGCUCCUUGCACACACCGCCCGUCAAACCACCCGAGUAGGGUCUGAAUGAGAGCGCUUACCAAUCGGAGGCGUUCGAAUUUGGGCUUUGCAAGGGGGGUUAAGUCGUAACAAGGUAACCAAGGGCGAAU